Molecule: ribosomal RNA, 516 nt
Filed under: uncultured bacterium
Lineage: Bacteria
Description: bacterial SSU rRNA
Rfam family: Bacterial small subunit ribosomal RNA
Source: RNAcentral
AGAAGUUUGAUUAUGGCUCAGGAUGAACGCUAGCGGCAGGCCUAACACAUGCAAGUCGCGGGGCAGCACGGGUAGCAAUACCUGGUGGCGACCGGCGCACGGGUGCGUAACGCGUAUGCAACCUGCCCCCAUCAGGGGAAUAGCCCGCCGAAAGGCGGAUUAAUGCCCCAUAGGCCCAGGGCGCCGCAUGGCGCUAUGGGUAAAGCUCCGGCGGAUGGGGAUGGGCAUGCGUGCCAUUAGCUAGUUGGGGCGGUAACGGCGCACCAAGGCGACGAUGGUUAGGGGGUCUGAGAGGAUGGUCCCCCACACUGGUACUGAGACACGGACCAGACUCCUACGGGAGGCAGCAGUGAGGAAUAUUGGUCAAUGGGCGGAAGCCUGAACCAGCCAUGCCGCGUGCAGGAUGACGGCCCUACGGGUUGUAAACUUCUUUUAUAAGGGAAUAAAGUGAGGGACGUGUCCCUUUUUGUAUGUACCUUAUGAAUAAGGAUCGGCUAACUCCGUGCCAGCCGCCGC